This 387-nucleotide long non-coding RNA is filed under the name Physcomitrium patens. RNAcentral's name for it is "long non-coding RNA (PPAT_LNC002239)". Lineage: Eukaryota; Viridiplantae; Streptophyta; Bryopsida; Funariales; Funariaceae. The record is from RNAcentral.
UCUUUCUUUGAGAAAAAGUUUCACUUGUUUAUUUGUUUUUAUCAAAUUCUUGUCCUUGACACAUUGACAAGAGUGCACUUACAAUAUCAGAGCUUUGUCUAAUAAUAAUUAAGAGUGGAUUAUCCUUUUCUCUUGAUAAGACAUAAGCAUAUUAGAAGUUGUAGAUUACCCUCUUCUAAACUGAUAUUAUUUUUAGUAUUUUCUUUGUUCUCAAGUCCUCUCUUCUAUUUGUCUUAAGCAAUAUUAGAUAUCUUCUCUUUUCUAAGUGUUAUCAUGGCAAAACUUGCUAAAAUGAAGAGUGCAAUGGCUUAAAUGCAAGAGUAGUUGAGGGAGUUAAUGCUUGUGAUACAUCAACUGAAUUUACCACCACAAAGAGCAACAAGAUUG